RNAcentral lists this transfer RNA (84 nucleotides) under Candidatus Shapirobacteria bacterium. Its description in RNAcentral is "tRNA-Ser". It matches the Rfam family "tRNA". From Rfam's summary of the family: Transfer RNA (tRNA) molecules are approximately 80 nucleotides in length. Their secondary structure includes four short double-helical elements and three loops (D, anti-codon, and T loops). Further hydrogen bonds mediate the characteristic L-shaped molecular structure. tRNAs have two regions of fundamental functional importance: the anti-codon, which is responsible for specific mRNA codon recognition, and the 3' end, to which the tRNAs corresponding amino acid is attached (by aminoacyl-tRNA synthetases). tRNAs cope with the degeneracy of the genetic code in two manners: having more than one tRNA (with a specific anti-codon) for a particular amino acid; and 'wobble' base-pairing, i.e. permitting non-standard base-pairing at the 3rd anti-codon position. The record is from RNAcentral. Lineage: Bacteria; Candidatus Shapironibacteriota.
GGAGGGUUGGCCGAGUGGUUUAUGGCGCUCGCUUCGAAAGCGUGUGGGAGCAAUCCCGCAGAGGUUCAAAUCCUCUACCCUCCG